RNAcentral lists this ribosomal RNA (292 nucleotides) under uncultured bacterium. Its description in RNAcentral is "partial 16S ribosomal RNA". It matches the Rfam family "Bacterial small subunit ribosomal RNA", at positions 505 to 796 of the family's 1533-position model. The record is from RNAcentral.
GUGCCAGCAGCCGCGGUAAGACAGAGGUGGCUAGCGUUGUUCGGUAUCACUGGGCUUAAAGCGUGUGUAGGCGGGAGCGUAAGCAUUUUGUGAAAUCCCCCGGCUCAACCGGGGCAUUGCUUGAUGUACUGCGUUCCUUGAGGCAAGUAGGGGUGCGAGGAACUCUUGGUGGAGCGGUGGAAUGCGUAGAUAUCAAGAGGAACGCCGAUGGUGAAGACAUCGCACUAGGCUUGUCCUGACGCUGAGACACGAAAGCGUGGGGAGCGAACGGGAUUAGAAACCCCGGUAGUCC